AGAGGAAUGGUGCAUCUGGUCUGGAAGAGACGGAGAAAAAGAAAGAAAAUAUUACAAAUGAAAACGUCAAGGCAUCCUAGAAAACAGCAGCCAAUUCAAUUAAAGCUGUGAAUGUGGCACUCAUCAUCCCAUCCAGCUGGCAAACGCCCUUAAUGACCUUGAAGACAUCCAGAUAGCUACUGAACCAGGUGCAAAGAAUAGCAGCUGAUGUGGAGAAAUGUUUGAUGCUUCAAGACUCCCUGAAGCUGAUUAUAUUAGGUGCACCCAGUGGCUUUUGACUAGGCCUAUUCGAGGGUCACAUGGUUGUGAAUUCAUACCUCAACUUUGUGGCUGAAUCUUCAGUCUUAUUACAACUUCAGCCUGGCGUCCCGGGAGCAGGUGUCUUUUGCACACUUUAAUUAAUUUCAAAGAUGUUUUGUUGGAAUCACAACACUCACUGGAUACAAGAUGGAUAUACAGAGGCAAAACAAGUGGAAAGGUCUCAGAGAAGAGGGACAACCCUCAUGUGUG
This is a long non-coding RNA of Onychostoma macrolepis, 510 nucleotides long. RefSeq lists it as uncharacterized. The transcript is spliced from 5 exons. The record is from RefSeq and is a predicted model, not a curated record. Lineage: Eukaryota; Metazoa; Chordata; Actinopteri; Cypriniformes; Cyprinidae.